CCUAUGCCGUCGCACACCUCGCACAUGCCUCCGAGCCGCCUCUGAUUUUUGGGUCUCAGACCGCAAGUCUUGCACCAUUCUUGCAGCCAUGGUCAAAAUUUCCUCCAGGCUCCAAGAUGGAACCUAAAAAGAACCCUAGUCCCAAAAUACUGGCUUCUAUGUUAUUAUCCUCCAUAGACUUCAAAGAAUUGUAAGAUUGCAAUAAAAAGAAGUGGAAAUUAAACUUGGGUUUUGGAGACAAGGAGAGGUUCUCUGUUAAUAUCCCAAAUGGUAGUGUGUUUAGAAUACGUGUGCAAAAUUUAAAUACAAAUAGCAACACAAUGCUAACAU
RNAcentral lists this long non-coding RNA (330 nucleotides) under Trifolium pratense (red clover). RNAcentral describes it as "long non-coding RNA (TPRA_LNC004126)". The record is from RNAcentral. Lineage: Eukaryota; Viridiplantae; Streptophyta; Magnoliopsida; Fabales; Fabaceae.